CCUACGGGGCGCAGCAGUGGGGAAUAUUGGGCAAUGGGCGCAAGCCUGACCCAGCAACGCCGCGUGAAGGAAGAAGGCUUUCGGGUUGUAAACUUCUUUUAAGAGGGAAGAGCAGAAGACGGUACCUCUUGAAUAAGCCACGGCUAACUACGUGCCAGCAGCCGCGGUAAUCCGUAGGUGGCAAGCGUUGUCCGGAUUUACUGGGUGUAAAGGGCGUGCAGCCGGGAAGACAAGUCAGAUGUGAAAGCCCGCGGCUCAACCGGGGAACUGCAUUUGAAACUGUUUUUCUUGAGUACCGGAGAGGUCAGCGGAAUUCCUGGUGUAGCGGUGAAAUGCGUAGAUAUAAGGAAGAACACCAGUGGCGAAGGCGGAUGACUGGUCGGCAACUGACGGUGAGGCGCGAAAGCGUGGGGAGCAAACAGGAUUAGAUACCCCUGUAGUC
This 442-nucleotide ribosomal RNA is filed under the name uncultured bacterium. RNAcentral's name for it is "partial 16S ribosomal RNA". It matches the Rfam family "Bacterial small subunit ribosomal RNA", at positions 338 to 795 of the family's 1533-position model. The record is from RNAcentral.